Molecule: non-coding RNA, 45 nt
Filed under: Schistosoma margrebowiei
Lineage: Eukaryota; Metazoa; Platyhelminthes; Trematoda; Strigeidida; Schistosomatidae
Source: RNAcentral
ACCCAGCUGACGAAUCCCAAAUGGGACGAAACGCGUGUCGUGGAU